AUAAUUUAAUAAUUAUUAGGUGUAUAAUGGAUCCCAAUAAGGUGGAUGGUCCGUCCUAAUUUUUAGGAAAUUAUUUUUACAUAUUUUAAGGGUUCUAAAAUUUUUGGGAACCAUUUUUUUAUUUUCUAGUUGUAUGUGUUCUCCUUAAUCAUGUGAUUUGGAGGGUAUCCUUUCAAGGCAUGGGUUUCUUGGUCAUCUGAAGAUCAACUAGUUAUUGAUGAUGUAAAACUAAUCAUUAUGCUCCCAAAUAUCACAUUCUUGUAUGCUCGGAUGUUUUACAUUCAUUAGUUUCUUAACUCUAAGUAUGAGUACAGUGGUACUGUUGGUUAAUUUUGCAAGAGAGAUUAGUUGUGUUCUUGACUUUAUUAUUGUUUGAUUGCAGGAAGAGAGAGCUAUCCAAUAUAUGAAGUUGUUGCCCUACAUGGAAAGAAAACAUUUCAAGCUAAAGUUACUAAAAGUCUGGGAAUGAGUUGAAACUGAGAUCCUGAAAGUAUUUCCUAAAUGAGAGGAUACACCAUUGAAACUAUUAUAGAUGGAAAACUUCUUCAUCCAUUAUGGUAGCUAUAAUAUGCUGCUCCCAGACAACCAAACAGAAUGACAUUGCUUCUAAGCCUUCCAAGCUCUGGAAAGACCACAUUACUACUGACUUUGGUGGGAAGACUUGGAAAAGACUUGAAAGUAAGGAAACUACAGACUUGUUUGCAUGUUUCUGUUGAUUUUUAACAUGAUAUUCUACAAUGGGAGCUUCUAAAAAUUCAAUUUUCAAGAAGAGCUACAUAUGAUGGACAUAUGAUGGAAGAGGUUGUGCCACAAAGGACAUCGGCUUACGUAAGUCUGCAUGAUCUGCAUAUUGGACAAAUCACUGAAAGGGAGACAUUGACUUUCUCAAUAAUAUGUCAAGGGGUCGAUCUUUGUUACGAGAAGUUGGCAGAACUAUGAAGAAGAGAAAGGACUGCAAAUAUCAAGCCACAUCCUGAUAUUGAUCUUUACACGCAGAUUUUGGGAGUUGAAGUAUGUGCUGACACCAUGGUGGGAGAUGAAAAGAUACGAGGCAUCUCUGGUGAGCAAAAGAAGAGAGUAACAUCAGGGAAAAUGCAGGUUGGACCGUCAAGAGCACUUUUGAUGAAUGAAAUAUCAACUAGGUUGGACAGUUCAACUACAUUCCAAAUUGUGAACUCACUUAGACAAUCCAUUCGUAUAUUCAAUGGAACUGCCAUUAUUCCAAAUUGCCAAUGAUCUAUGGGCAGAGUGCUAUGGCUGUGAAUUAAUUUCUGAGGAAGAGCAGGAGUCAUAUUUCUCCUAAGUCUACAGAAUCAUUAGGAGUUCAGGUUAAAAACAGUAGUGGGCUCUUCCCGCAAGCAUAUUGGUAUUCGAUUGGAGCAAGAGAUUUGAUUGACUAUGUAUUUCUUUCCAACUUCCUCUUAACUAUGGCUGUGAAUUAAUUUCUGAGGAAGAGUAGGAGUCAUAUUUCUCCUAAGUCUACAGAAUCAUUGUUCAGGUUAAAAGCAGUAGUGGGCUCUUCCCGCAAGCAUAUUGGUAUUCGAUUGGAGCAAGAGAUUUGAUUGACUAUGUAUUUCUUUCCAACUUCCUCUUAACUAUGGCUUUGAAGUAUCUUGAUAAUAAUCUUCCAUUGUAGAUUUCUCCUAAGUCUACAGAAUCAUUAGGAGUUCAGGUUAUAAACAGCCGUGUGCUCUUCCCAUAAGCAUAUCGACAUUUGAUUGGAGCAGGAGAUUUGAUUGACUAUGUAUUUCUUUCCAACUUCCUCUUAACUAUGGCUUUGAAGUAUCUUGAUCGAAAGCCCCAGGACAUUUGAUGAGGAAUGUAAUAGCAAAGAAAGGGAGUCAAUGGAGCUAACGUACAGGGGAAAAGUCUUUCUUGAAUGACAUUGCUUCUAAGCCUUCCAAGCUCUAGAAAGACCACAUUACUCCUGACUUUGGUUGGAAAACUUGGAAAAGACUUGAAAUUUUCAGGGAGAGCUACAUAUAAUGGACAUGGGAAGGAAGAGGUUGUGCCACAGAGGACAUCGGCUUACAUAAGUCAGCAUGAUCUGCAUAUUGGGGUUUUCCAACAGAUGUCAAGGUUUCGGUUUCCGUUACGAGAUGUUGGCAGAACUAUCAAGGAGAGAAAAAAUUGCAAAUAUCAAGCCACAUCCUGAUAUUGAUCUUUACACGCAGGCUAUAUCACGGGAAGGGCAGAAGACCAAUGUAGUUACAGACGAUGUUUUCAAGAUUUUGGGAGUUGAAGUAUGUGUUGACACCAUGGUGGGAGAUGAAAAGAUAUGAGACAUCUCUAGUGGGCAAAACAGAGAGUAACAACAGGGAAAAUGCAGGUUGGACCACCAAGAGCACUUUUCAUGAAUGAAAUAUCAAUUGGGUUGGAUUAGACAAUCCAUUUGUAUAUUCAAUGGAACUGCUAUUAUUCCAAAUUGCCAAUGAUCUAUGGGCAGAGUGCUAUGGCUGUGAAUUAAUUUCUGAGGAAGAGUUGGAGUCAUAUUCCUCCUAAGUCUACAGAAUCAUUAGGAGUUCAGGUUAUAAACAGUAGUGGGCUCUUCACACAAGCAUAUUGGUAUUCGAUUGGAGCAAGAGAUUUGAUUGACCAUGAAAGCCCCGGGACAUUUGAUGAGGAAUGUAGUAACAAAGAAAGGUAGCCAAUGGAGCUAACUCACAGGGGGAAAAGUCUUUCCUGAAUGACAUUGCUUCUAAGCCUUCCAAGCUAUGGAAAGACCACAUUACUACUGACUUUGGUUGGAAAACUUGGAAAGACUUGAAAUGUUCAGGGAGAGCUACAUAUAAUGGACAUGGGAUGGAAGAGGAUGUGCCACGGAGGACAUCGGCUUACGUAAGUCAGCAUGAUCUGCAUAUUGGACAAAUCACAAGAAGGGAGACAUUGGCUUUCUCAACAAGAUGUCAAGGGUUCGGUUUUCGUUAGAGAUGUUGGCAGAACUAUCAAGAAGAGAAAAGACUGCAAAUAUCAAGCCAGAUCCUGAUCUUGAUCUUUACAUGAAGGCUGGAAGGGCAGAAGACCAAUGUAGUUACAAACUAUGUUUUAAUAAUUAUUCAGAUUUUGGGACUUAAAGUAUGCACUGACACGAUGGUGGGAGGUGAAAAGAUAUGAGGCAUCUCUGGUUGGCAAAAGAAUGGAGUAACAACAGGGGAAAUGCUGGUUGGACCGGCAAAAACACUUUUGAUGGAUGAAAUAUUAACUAGAUUGAACAAUUCAACUACAUUCCAGAUUGUAAACUCACUUAGACAGUCUGUUCAUAUUUUCAAUGGAACUGUUGUUAUUCCAAAUUGCCAAUAGAAUGCCGCGGCUUGGAAUGAAUUUGUGAGGAAGAGUUGGAGUCAUAUUCCUCCUAAUUCUAUAGAACCAUUAGGAGUUCAAGGAGUUCAAGUUCUGAAGAGUCAUGGGCUCUUUCCACAACCAUAUUGGUCUUGGAAUGGAGCAAGAGAUUUGAUUGGCUAUGUAUUUCUUUCCAACAUCCUUUUAACAAUGGCUUUGAAGUAUCUUCAGACGUCGAGACAUUUGACGAGGAAUGUAGUAGCAAAGAAGGGGAGCUAAUGGAGCUAACACACAAGGGAAAAGUCUCUUCUGGCAAUAGUUAUUUUCAGAAGGUUUUUAUCGACGGGGGUUUAAUGACAUUCUUCCAUGUACCAAGAAGUCAUUACCAAUUAUUUGUGAUGUUAGUAGAAUCAUCAAACCUCGAAGGUUAAAAGGCCUUCCAAGCUCUAGAAAGACCACAUUACUAUUGACUUUGGCUGAAAACUUGGAAAAGACUUGAAAUUUUUAAGGAGAGUUACAUAUAAUGAACAUGGGAUGGAAGAGGUAGUGCCACAGAGGAAAUCGGCUUACAUAAUUCAGCAUGAUUUGCAGAUUGGAGAAAUGAGGGUAGGAGAGACAUUGGCUUCCUCAACAAGAUAUCAAGGGGUUGGUCCCCAUUAAGAUAAAGAUGUUGGCAAAACUAUCAAGAACAGGAAAGGUUGCAAAUGUCAGGCCAGAUCCUGAUAUUGAUCUUUAUAUCAGGAUCAAUAUAAAGCUUAUCAGGCUGCAUCAAUGGAAGCGCAUGAGAACAAAGUAGUCAUACAAUAUUCUCAAGAUUGUGGGACUUGAAGUAUGUGCUAACACAAUGGUGGGAGAUGAAAAGAUACGAGGCAUCUCUGUUGGGCAAAUGAAGAGAGUGAGAACAGGGGAAACAUAAAAAAAUUCAUUGUUAUUUAAACAAGCUUGGAUUUUCUCUUCGCUUAGUUUACUAGGUUAUUUUGGCACAGGGGAAAUGCUAGUUAGACCGGUGAGAGCAUUUUCCUUGAAUGAAAUAUUAACUGAGUUGGACAGUUCAACUACAUUCCAAAUUGUGAACACACUUAGAUAGUCCAUUCAUAUAUUCAAUGGAAUAGUCGUUAUUCCAAAUUGCCAAUGAUGUAUGGGCAACAUGCUGUGGCUUGGAAUGAAUUUCUAGGGAAGAGUUGUAGUUAUGUAAGUAGAAUUUUCUUAAUUUAAACUAUAGAUCAGAAGUUUAAGAAUUUGAGCUACUUCUUUCAAUAGUCUUUUGUUGCAGAUUCCUCCUAAUUUGACAGAAUCAUUAGGAGUUCAAGUUAUGAAGAGCUGUGGGCUCUUCCUACAACUAUAUUGGUCUUGGAUUAGAGUAAGAGAUUUGAUUGGCUAUGCAUUUCUUUCCAACAUCCUUUUAACAAUGGCUUUGAAGAAUCUUAAUAUUUUGGGAAAGCCUCAGAACAUUUGAUGAGGAAUGUGGCAGCAAAGAAAGGGAGCCAAUGAAGCUAAUACACAGGGAAAAAGUCUCUUUUGGCCUUGCAAGCUCUGGAAAGACCACAUUACUAUUGAUUUUGGCUGGAAAAACUAGAAAAGACAUGAAAAUUCAGUCUUUAGGGAGAGUUACAUAUAAUGGACAUGAGAUGGAAGAGAUUGUGCCACAGAGGACUUCAACUUACAUAAUUCAGCAUGAUUUGCAUAUUGAAGCAAUGACAGUAGGAGAGACAUUGGCUUUCUCAACAAGUUGUGAAGUGGUUGGUCUUGUGACGAUGUCGGCAAAUCAAUCAAGAAGAAGAAAGGUUGCAAAUGUCAAGCUAGGUCUUGAUAUUGAUCUUUACAUGAAGGCUACAUCACUGGAAGGGCAGGAGACCAAUGUAGUCCCAGAAUGUUCUUAAGGUUUUGGGACUUGAAGUAUGUGCUGACAGGAUGAUGGGAGAUGAAAAGAUGCGAGGCAUCUCUGGUGGGCAAAAGAAGAGAGUAACAACAGGUAGAAUGCCGCAACUUGGAAUGAAUUCUUGGGGAAGAGUUGGAGUCAUAUUCCUCCUAAUUCUACAGAACCAUUAGGAGUUGAAGUUAUGAAGAGCCGUGGGCUCUUUCCACAACCAUAUUGGUCUUGGAUUGGACUUUCCAAAUGGCUAUGUAUUUCUUUCCAAUAUCCCUUUAACAAUAGCUUUGAAACAUCUUAACAGUAAAUACUCCACACUUAUGAGCUUCAAGAAAUUCAUACAAUAAUUUAGUAAUUUGUUGUAGUUUUGGAAAGUCUCAGGGCAUUUGACGAGGAAUGUAGUAGCAAAGAAAGGGAGCUAAUGGAGCUAACACAUAGGCGAAAAGUCUCUUUUGAUAUGCCAUUUGGAUGAAAAAUCUGCCGACUUUUUGGUAUUUUUUCAAGUUGCUACAUUAAGUCUCAUGGGAAUUAUGCAAAAAGAGGAAGCGAAACUCGAAGAAGUGUAUCAUCCAUGACUGCCUUCCAAGCUCUGGAAAGACUAGUACUAUUAACUUUGGCUGGAAAACUUGAAAGUAAGUUUUUAGAAAGAGUUACAUAUAAUGGACAGAGGCUUUGCCACAGAGGACAUUGGCUUACAUAACUCAACAUGAUCUUCAUAUUGAAGAAAUGACGGUAGGAUAGACAUUGACUUUCUCAAUAAGAUAUCAAGGGUCGGUCCUCAUUAUAGUUUUUCAGGAAGUACUUGAUACUCGUGUGUUAUCCAGAUGGUGUCAUGACUAUUCCAAUGUAUCGGAGCCAUUGGCCAGAACAUAAUUGUUAAAAACAGAUUUGGUUCAUUUGCUUUACCAAUCAGUCUUGGUUCUGGGUGGAAUUGUCUUUAUCAAGAGUCAUGUGAAAAGCUGGUUGCUGUUAUUGGUUCUCUCCAAUGAUUUAUGGGCAGAAUGCUAGGGCUGUGAAUGAAUUUCUUGGGAAGAGUUGGUGUCCUAACCAUUAGGAGUUCAGGUUAUAAAGAGUCGUGGGCUCUUGCCACAAGCACAUUGGUAUUGGAUUGGAGUAGGAGGUUUGACUGACUAUGUAUUUCAUUUCAACUUCCUUUUUACAAUGGCUUUAAAGUAUUUUGAUACAUUUGGAAAGCCUCAGGCAAAUUAUAACCCAAGAGGCAUUUGAUGAGGAAUGUAGUAGUAACGAAGGGGAGCAAAUGGAGCUAAAACACAGGGUAAAAGUCUCUUAUGGUAUGUCAUUUAGCUGAAAGAUUUAUCGACUUUGUGGUAAAAAAAUUGUUCUGUGAAGUCCCAUGAGAAUGAUGCAGAAAGAGGAAAUGAAAGUCAAAAAAAUAUAUAGUCUA
Mangifera indica (mango) is the source of this 6554-nucleotide long non-coding RNA. RefSeq lists it as uncharacterized. Lineage: Eukaryota; Viridiplantae; Streptophyta; Magnoliopsida; Sapindales; Anacardiaceae. The record is from RefSeq and is a predicted model, not a curated record. The transcript has 43 exons.